UAUUGGCCAAUGGGCGGGAGCCUGAACCAGCCAAGUCGCGUGAGGGAAGACGGUCCUAUGGAUUGUAAACCUCUUUUGUCAGGGAGCAAUUCCCGCCACGGGUGGCGGGCGGGAGAGUACCUGAAGAAAAAGCAUCGGCUAACUCCGUGCCAGCAGCCGCGGUAAUACGGAGGAUGCGAGCGUUAUCCGGAUUUAUUGGGUUUAAAGGGUGCGUCGGCGGAGUGCCAAGUCAGCGGUAAAAAUUCGGGGCUCAACCCCGUCGUGCCGUUGAAACUGGCGCCCUUGAGUGGGCGAGAAGUAUGCGGAAUGCGUGGUGUAGCGGUGAAAUGCAUAGAUAUCACGCAGAACCCCGAUUGCGAAGGCAGCAUACCGGCGCCCUACUGACGCUGAAGCACGAAAGCGUGGGUAUCGAACAGG
This 417-nucleotide ribosomal RNA is filed under the name uncultured bacterium. Its description in RNAcentral is "bacterial SSU rRNA". It matches the Rfam family "Bacterial small subunit ribosomal RNA", at positions 362 to 776 of the family's 1533-position model. The record is from RNAcentral.